ACACUGAGCGAGGAGCGGGAGGCACAGCUGCACGCAUCCCUUGCUACAUCCUCGGAGCCUGCUACUGCUUCAUCCUGCUGCUCCUGCAGCUGCUCUUCCACCUGCUGUGCCUGCGGGGCAGCUGCCAGCAGCAGAGCUGUCCUGGAGAAGCUUGCAGCUGCUGCUGGGGAGAAGAAGGCCGACGAGUGGGAGCAGACAGAGCCGGCACCCCAGGACACUGCAGUGUGCAGGCAGAAUGAGUGUGCUCAGCAGUGCCUCGGGCUGUUUUCCCCAACACCAGCCCCUGUGCUGGAGAAACCCAGGCAUCCCCAAGAACCUGUCCCUGCCUGCAGCGCACAACCACUUCCUCAUUCACAUUCCCGCACCGUUAAGUAACCCAUCCUGUGAGCAAAUAAACACCCCUUCCUCCACCAAAACUGUCUCCCAAGUGCCUGAUGUGAGGCUGCAGCAUCACUUGAGACAGUCCCAGCAGCAAAGCAAGAGAUGGGAGGCCAUUUACCAAAGCUUCAGGCCUGCCAUGGAUGGUGGUGGCACCUCAGGCUGGGGGUCGGGGCCCCAAGGCUGAUGUGCAGGGCAGGAGAUGGGCAGCUUCCGAGGCUGACAGAUUGCAGAGGGUCAGGGUGGGCAGCACCAACAGUCCUGGCCUCAGCCACCAGCUGCAGGCUGGGCUCCUGCUCCAGCCCGGGCACAGGAGUGUCUAGAGAUUCCUGUGGGCUCAUGUCUUCUUCCACUAGAAUCUGCCUGCCCUUGGGAUCCUCCUGGCACCUGGGAUUCCCCCUGCACAUCAUGCAGUGCCCGUGGCCUCCCCUCUCCGCUCACACGCACAGGAAGGAGCCCGGUCUCGCCCACCCGCAGCGAACCCAACGGGUGCAGAGGGGCUGAGCCAGAGCCGCUGACUUCCUCCUGGGCCAGGAGAGCACGGCAGCCUCAGGAGAUGUGCGGCGGGCGGCGCUGCUGGGACCUCGGCUCCCUCCUGCUGCUGCUGCUGCUGCUGGGGCAAAACCUGGGUCUUCUCAUCGACAUCCCGCAGGAUGUGGUCAGUGGCACCGUGGGGCAGUCCGUGCUCCUGCCUGUCUCCUACAGAGUCAACAGCUCCCUUUGCUUCCCAAUGUCAAUUCUGUGGAAGCUUGGGAACAGCCCACAAGUGAUCAUCACCUGCACAGUGCAGAACUGCUCCCUGGAUGCUGAGGGAGCUCCCAAGAAAUGCUCUGCAGUAUGUUUCCCUCUUGCCACAUACCGGAACCGCAUUGAGGUCUUCCCCGAGAACGCAUCCCUGCUGCUGCGGGACCUGCAGCUCAGUGACAGCGGGGUGUACAGCGUCACCUUCCAACAACAAAAUCAAAUCAGAUGGAUCACCCUAGUUGUGCACAAUCAGCAUGUUCCCCCCGAGCAUCAUGACGAAGGUAAGUGCCCAUGUGCCUGGAUAGAUCCCUUCUGCACUGCCCUGGACAUGGGGCAUCAGGCAUGGGCAGGAAUGUGGUUCCCUUCCCAUGGAUAUGAAGUGCUGCAGCAAAGGGAGGAUUUCCAGGGGUAUCGCAGCUGGUGCUGGUUGUGCUACUCUUUUACAGAAGGAAACCCACCCUGUUCUGCUCUGCCUGCUAAAUUAGAAGUAUGA
Molecule: long non-coding RNA, 1615 nt
Organism: Numida meleagris (helmeted guineafowl)
Lineage: Eukaryota; Metazoa; Chordata; Aves; Galliformes; Numididae
Source: Ensembl